This 790-nucleotide small RNA is filed under the name Pongo abelii (Sumatran orangutan). RNAcentral describes it as "retained intron". The record is from RNAcentral. Lineage: Eukaryota; Metazoa; Chordata; Mammalia; Primates; Hominidae.
GUUUGGUGAGAAUUGCUUGAACCGAGAGGCAGAGGUUGCAGUGAGUCAAGAUUGUGCUACUGCACUCCAGCCUGGGCAAUACAGUGAGACUGUCUCAGAAAAAAAAAAGGUGUUUGGGGCCAGGGGCUUUGAGUGAGGCAGGGGAAUAGCAAAGUCCUGGGAGCCUACUAAAUGACCACUGUUGUCAGCAUCAGACCCUGAUCCUUGGGGACUGGACUCCACAGGCGCUACAAAAUCUCUAACAUCCUCUCUCUUCCUCUACAGCAGAACAGCCCCGUAGCCCCCACAGCCCAGCCAAAAGCCCCACCCACAAGGGCUCCCCAGUCAGGAUCAGCCCCAGCAGCCAAAGCGCCCCCCAAAGCCACAUCCACCAGAGCCCAGCAGCAGCUGGCCUUCCUAGAGGGCCGCAAGAAGCAGCUCCUGCAGGCCGCACUGCGAGCCAAGCAGAAAAACGACGUGGAGGGCGCCAAGAUGCAUCUGCGCCAGGCCAAGGGACUGGAGCCUAUGCUGGAGGCCUCACGCAAUGGGCUGCCUGUGGACAUCACCAAGGUGCCGCCCGCCCCUGUCAACAAGGACGACUUUGCCCUGGUCCAGCGGCCCGGCCCGGGUCUGUCUCAGGAGGCCACCCGGCGCUAUGGUGAACUCACCAAGCUCAUACGGCAGCAGCAUGAGAUGUGCCUGAACCACUCAAACCAAUUCACCCAGCUGGGCAACAUCACUGAAACCACCAAGUUUGAAAAGUUGGCGGAGGACUGUAAGCGGAGCAUGGACAUUCUGAAGCAAGCCUUCG